GAACCGAUCCAGCCUGUUUAAACGGAAAGGACAGAGAUCCUGGCUGUUCAAUGUAUAAAAAAAAUCAGUGCCGACCUAGAGCGAGCGAGCGAGGGCGGAGUGAGUGUGUGUGGCGGCGGUGGGGUGUGCGUGUGUGUGAGUGUGUGUGUGAGGGUGUGUGUGUGUGAGAGGCAGCGGGCGAGCGAGCGAGCGAGCGAGGCACCGAGGCAGCGAGGGGGGGUGGGAAAAAAAGGAAAAGAAGAUUUUUCCUCUAUGUAUAUAAAGAUGGCCACGUUAGCAAACGGACAAGCAGACAAUUCCAGCCUCAGUAGCAACCACACUAACCCCAGCACCAACGGGCACAUGAACGGAUUAAACCACAGUCCAGGGAACUCCUCCACCAUCCCCAUGAAGGACCACGAUGCCAUCAAGCUCUUCAUCGGACAGAUCCCGCGCAACCUGGACGAGAAGGACCUCAAGCCGCUCUUCGAAGAGUUCGGCAAGAUCUACGAACUGACGGUGCUGAAGGACCGCUUCACGGGCAUGCACAAAGGCUGUGCCUUUCUAACAUACUGUGAAAGGGAGUCUGCUCUAAAAGCCCAGAGUGCACUGCAUGAACAGAAGACACUGCCAGGGAUGAACAGACCGAUCCAGGUGAAACCAGCGGACAGCGAGAGUCGAGGAGAAGACAGAAAACUCUUUGUCGGUAUGCUCAACAAACAGCAGUCAGAAGAUGACGUGCGCCGGCUAUUUGAGGCCUUUGGGAACAUUGAGGAGUGCACGAUCCUUCGGGGACCAGAUGGCAACAGUAAAGGGUGUGCAUUUGUGAAAUACUCCUCACAUGCGGAAGCCCAGGCAGCCAUCAACGCCUUGCAUGGAAGCCAGACAAUGCCGUUCUCAAGGGAUACCUUGGCCAAUGAAAGAGUUUGUUACCUCAGGCAGCUAGAACCUUCUUUCUCUGCCUGGAGACAACCAAUGGGCGCCUCGUCGAGCCUGGUGGUCAAGUUCGCAGACACAGACAAGGAGCGCACAAUGAGGCGCAUGCAGCAAAUGGCCGGCCAGAUGGGCAUGUUCAAUCCAAUGGCUAUCCAGUUUGGAGCAUACGGCGCCUACGCACAGGCACUGAUGCAGCAGCAGGCGGCCAUCAUGGCGUCCGUGGCUCAAGGUGGCUACCUAAACCCCAUGGCAGCCUUUGCAGCAGCUCAGAUGCAACAGAUGGCAGCCCUGAACAUGAACGGUCUGGCCGCCACCCCCAUGACACCCACCUCAGGUGGCAGCACGCCUCCGGGCAUCACUGCACCAGCUGUGCCUAGUAUCCCAUCUCCCAUUGGGGUGAACGGUUUCACUGGCCUACCGCCACAAGCUAAUGGGCAGCCUGCUGCAGAAGCCGUCUUUGCCAACGGUAUCCAUCCUUACCCAGCACAGAGUCCCACUGCAGCUGACCCCUUGCAGCAAGCCUACGCUGGAGUGCAGCAGUAUGCAGGUCCUGCUUACCCUGCUGCAUAUGGCCAGAUAAGCCAAGCCUUCCCACAGCCGCCUCCCAUGAUCCCACAGCAACAGAGAGAAGGACCAGAGGGCUGUAACCUGUUUAUCUACCAUCUGCCCCAGGAGUUUGGGGACGCAGAGCUGAUGCAGAUGUUCCUGCCAUUCGGUAAUGUCAUCUCCUCGAAAGUGUUUGUGGAUCGGGCGACAAACCAAAGUAAAUGCUUUGGCUUUGUGAGUUUUGACAAUCCUGCUAGUGCCCAAGCUGCCAUCCAGGCUAUGAACGGCUUCCAGAUUGGCAUGAAGAGGCUGAAGGUGCAGCUCAAAAGGCCAAAGGAUGCUAACCGCCCCUACUGAAGAAUUGUGGGAAACUCUGGAUAAGCAAGGUCUAGCACAGAGCCAGUCAAAUCCACCACAGUCUCGCGCUGAGCUAGGAAAAAAGUUCACGUAAUGACAGGAAAGUGGAGAAUACAGUCCCCCAGUCCGGCAUCAGCUGAAUGGGCCACAUUUAGAGAAAUAUAUAUAUAUAUAUUAAAUAAAUAUAUAUAGGAACGAGAACUGUUGGAUUACACCUUUAACAUAUCAGCAAAUAUCAGUCAAGCUGAAGACGUCAGACUUACUCUCUUUCUGAUUGUUGAGACUGUAACAUUUCUUCAAGAAAAGUCACGUCAGCUGGGUUCGAAGAACAUAUGCUUGAAACUAAAACAUAACCAACAACAAACAAACAAAAAUCACACCAGGAGCAAGAUCGACUAGGAUUUCUGCAGAUAAACUGAUGUCACCACAGAGGCUUUUCUCCAAACAGGAAAUGCAAACCUUGAUACUGACAAAGGAGUGCCUGUUUGCCACCAGGGAUGCGGUUGCUAUGGAUACCCCAUGGCACUAGUCACUAAGCAUCUUUAUCUGUCAUUCCUUAGCUAUAUAGGGACCAAAGGACAUAACUUUUUAUUGCAGACUUGUAGCUGUAUGUAAAUUACAGAAGUUCUUUCCUUUUCUCUUGAGCUGUUCCUAUAACAGUUUUUGAGAGCAAUUAUAUGAAAUAUGUAAAAACUGAAAAAAAAAUGCUUAAAUGCUUUUAAAAAAUGGCAAGAUAAUAGUUCUUUGAUACUUCGGGAGGAUCUUUGGUUAUACAUUAAUUAGAGUCUAUAAAACUUUCAUAUGGUUUUCUGUAUAAUAUGUAUGGAUUGAGUGAUUAAAAGGGACAUGUUAAGGUGGGUACCUAUGAAAAGCAAAAAGGGAAAAAAUGAAUACACAGAUCAGUGGACUGGAAAGUCAAUGAGAAGGAAAAGAAGGCUGAUAUGAAUUACAAAGAAAACAGGUGUGUAAAUGCUUCUGACUCCCCCCCCCCUAAAAUCCUAAUAGUUGUACAGAAUUUAAAAAUGAAAAAGUUUAAAAUACCUAUAUAAUGGGGUGGGGGGAGGAUUAGAAAACAUAAAAAAGAAAAAAAAGCAAAAAAAUAUACAUAGAAGUUAGCAUUAAUGCUAAAAACAAACAAAGAUGUUGUAGAACUGUAACCUUUGUAGAGUUUAGAUUGAAAUCAGUUCCUGCUCUCAACCAACUGCUGUUGGAAGCUGUGUCUUAUUGAGGGGAGGGAGGGGGGGCAAAGGAGAAGAUGGCUUAACUGGGCAGCUUUUUUAACUGCAAGCAUUCCAGCUAGUAAUAAAUAAAAUAAACUAAUAAGCAAACAAAACAACAUUCUCAAUUCCUGUAGACAAUGCAAAACAGAAAACUAACGGCUGUCUUCUUACGAACUAUCCAAAGUUGGUUCGAACUUGGUGAAAACAAAACCACAGCUAAGACGCUUUCAUGUCUCCAUGAGCUGUCUGUCGCCAGCAACCUCCCAUCAUCUUUCGCUUCAGUAGCUUCCAUAUUUGCUCUAGAAUCCUUCAGGACAGGGGUGGGGUGGGAGCGGGGUUUAGCCUAGAACCUUAAUCUUAAAAAAACAAAAAGAUUAAAAAAAAUAAAAAACAAAAACAAAAAAAUUACAAAAAUGCAAUCUCUUUGAAGAAUUUCUGAAACUGUUUACAAGGAAUUUUGAAAAACAGGGGGAUGUUUAAAAAAAGAUGCUGGCUCUGUUUUUCUGUAAAUAAAUUUGCAUAUUUUGUAGGACUUUUAAUUGUAAUGAUAGAGAAAAAAAUCAAGGAAAAACUAUUUAAUGAAAGCACGAUAUUUAUCUUUGGUAAAUGACUUUAGAGCAGUUAAAAAAAGAAGUUGCUUUAAAAUCUGAAUCAGAAAAAUAGAAACAAUGAAUUAUUUAAGAACACAUAUAUUUUAAAGUAUAUCAUAUUUAUUAUAAUUUAUUUCCACUGUGUUAAGACUUGAUUUUAAGGUUUUUUUUAUUCCCUCAUUCCUUUUUAUUGGAUUGAGAAAAAUGACAUGGUUCUUUCUGAAUAAUUCCUUGUUUGCCUUUUGGGUAGAUUUGGGGGAUUUUCUUUUAUUUAAAAUGUUCUUUCUUUCUGUCUUUCUCCCUGUUGGGCCUGAUUUUGAAGUCUUCAUGCUGGCUAAACACCCCCUGGUUUUCUCUGGUUGUUUGGCUGGGAUAAGACCCCUGAAACAAGCCCGUAUCUAGGUGUGUAAAAUGCCGCUGCAGUUCCAGACAACUGCUCUCUGAUUCUCAAUUCCCUAAAACUCCUUGUAAUCUUCUGUAAUUAUUGAAUGACGCUUACCAGCUUAGCCCUAAAUAAAGCACAGUUUAAAGAAAAAAAA
Molecule: RNA transcript, 4167 nt
Organism: Hemicordylus capensis (graceful crag lizard)
Lineage: Eukaryota; Metazoa; Chordata; Lepidosauria; Squamata; Cordylidae
Gene: CELF4
Gene name: CUGBP Elav-like family member 4
Exons: 15
Source: RefSeq, a predicted model, not a curated record